UUAAGCGACUAAGCGUACACGGUGGAUGCCCUGGCAGUCAGAGGCGAUGAAGGACGUGCUAAUCUGCGAAAAGCGUCGGUAAGGUGAUAUGAACCGUUAUAACCGGCGAUGUCCGAAUGGGGAAACCCAGUGCAAUUCGUUGCACUAUCGUUAACUGAAUACAUAGGUUAACGAGGCGAACCGGGGGAACUGAAACAUCUAAGUACCCCGAGGAAAAGAAAUCAACCGAGAUUCCCCCAGUAGCGGCGAGCGAACGGGGAGCAGCCCAGAGUCUGAAUCAGCUUGUGUGUUAGUGGAACGGUCUGGAAAGUCCGACGGUACAGGGUGAUAGUCCCGUACACCAAAAUGCACAGGCUGUGAACUCGAAGAGUAGGGCGGGACACGUGGUAUCCUGUCUGAAUAUGGGGGGACCAUCCUCCAAGGCUAAAUACUCCUGACUGACCGAUAGUGAACCAGUACCGUGAGGGAAAGGCGAAAAGAACCCCGGCGAGGGGAGUGAAAAAGAACCUGAAACCGUGUACGUACAAGCAGUGGGAGCACCUUCGGGUGUGACUGCGUACCUUUUGUAUAAUGGGUCAGCGACUUAUAUUCUGUAGCAAGGUUAACCGUAUAGGGGAGCCGCAGGGAAACCGAGUCUUAACUGGGCGUUAAGUUGCAGGGUAUAGACCCGAAACCCGGUGAUCUAGCCAUGGGCAGGUUGAAGGUUGGGUAACACUAACUGGAGGACCGAACCGACUAAUGUUGAAAAAUUAGCGGAUGACUUGUGGCUGGGGGUGAAAGGCCAAUCAAACCGGGAGAUAGCUGGUUCUCCCCGAAAGCUAUUUAGGUAGCGCCUCGUGAACUCAUCUUCGGGGGUAGAGCACUGUUUCGGCUAGGGGGUCAUCCCGACUUACCAACCCGAUGCAAACUACGAAUACCGAAGAAUGUUAUCACGGGAGACACACGGCGGGUGCUAACGUCCGUCGUGAAGAGGGAAACAACCCAGACCGCCAGCUAAGGUCCCAAAGUCAUGGUUAAGUGGGAAACGAUGUGGGAAGGCACAGACAGCCAGGAUGUUGGCUUAGAAGCAGCCAUCAUUUAAAGAAAGCGUAAUAGCUCACUGGUCGAGUCGGCCUGCGCGGAAGAUGUAACGGGGCUAAACCAUGCACCGAAGCUGCGGCAGCGACACUAUGUGUUGUUGGGUAGGGGAGCGUUCUGUAAGCCUGCGAAGGUGACCUGUGAGGGUUGCUGGAGGUAUCAGAAGUGCGAAUGCUGACAUAAGUAACGAUAAAGCGGGUGAAAAGCCCGCUCGCCGGAAGACCAAGGGUUCCUGUCCAACGUUAAUCGGGGCAGGGUGAGUCGACCCCUAAGGCGAGGCCGAAAGGCGUAGUCGAUGGGAAACAGGUUAAUAUUCCUGUACUUGGUGUUACUGCGAAGGGGGGACGGAGAAGGCUAUGUUAGCCGGGCGACGGUUGUCCCGGUUUAAGCAUGUAGGCUGAUUGUCCAGGCAAAUCCGGAUAAUCAAGGCUGAGGUGUGAUGACGAGGCACUACGGUGCUGAAGUAACAAAUGCCCUGCUUCCAGGAAAAGCCUCUAAGCAUCAGGUAACAUUAAAUCGUACCCCAAACCGACACAGGUGGUCAGGUAGAGAAUACCAAGGCGCUUGAGAGAACUCGGGUGAAGGAACUAGGCAAAAUGGUGCCGUAACUUCGGGAGAAGGCACGCUGGUGUGUAGGUGAAGCCCCUGCGGGUGGAGCUGAGACCAGUCGAAGAUACCAGCUGGCUGCAACUGUUUAUUAAAAACACAGCACUGUGCAAACACGAAAGUGGACGUAUACGGUGUGACGCCUGCCCGGUGCCGGAAGGUUAAUUGAUGGGGUUAUCCGUAAGGAGAAGCUCUUGAUCGAAGCCCCGGUAAACGGCGGCCGUAACUAUAACGGUCCUAAGGUAGCGAAAUUCCUUGUCGGGUAAGUUCCGACCUGCACGAAUGGCGUAAUGAUGGCCAGGCUGUCUCCACCCGAGACUCAGUGAAAUUGAACUCGCUGUGAAGAUGCAGUGUACCCGCGGCAAGACGGAAAGACCCCGUGAACCUUUACUAUAGCUUGACACUGAACAUUGAGCCUUGAUGUGUAGGAUAGGUGGGAGGCUUUGAAGCGUGGACGCCAGUCUGCGUGGAGCCAACCUUGAAAUACCACCCUUUAAUGUUUGAUGUUCUAACGUUGGCCCCUGACCGGGGUUGCGGACAGUGUCUGGUGGGUAGUUUGACUGGGGCGGUCUCCUCCCAAAGCGUAACGGAGGAGCACGAAGGUUAGCUAAUCCUGGUCGGACAUCAGGAGGUUAGUGCAAUGGCAUAAGCUAGCUUGACUGCGAGCGUGACGGCGCGAGCAGGUGCGAAAGCAGGUCAUAGUGAUCCGGUGGUUCUGAAUGGAAGGGCCAUCGCUCAACGGAUAAAAGGUACUCCGGGGAUAACAGGCUGAUACCGCCCAAGAGUUCAUAUCGACGGCGGUGUUUGGCACCUCGAUGUCGGCUCAUCACAUCCUGGGGCUGAAGUAGGUCCCAAGGGUAUGGCUGUUCGCCAUUUAAAGUGGUACGCGAGCUGGGUUUAGAACGUCGUGAGACAGUUCGGUCCCUAUCUGCCGUGGGCGCUGGAGAAUUGAGGGGGGCUGCUCCUAGUACGAGAGGACCGGAGUGGACGCAUCACUGGUGUUCGGGUUGUCAUGCCAAUGGCACUGCCCGGUAGCUAAAUGCGGAAGAGAUAAGUGCUGAAAGCAUCUAAGCACGAAACUUGCCCCGAGAUGAGUUCUCCCUGAGACUUUAAGUCUCCUGAAGGAACGUUGAAGACGACGACGUUGAUAGGCCGGGUGUGUAAGCGCAGCGAUGCGUUGAGCUAACCGGUACUAAUGAACCGUGAGGCUUAACCUU
RNAcentral lists this ribosomal RNA (2900 nucleotides) under Klebsiella pneumoniae. Its description in RNAcentral is "bacterial LSU rRNA". It matches the Rfam family "Bacterial large subunit ribosomal RNA". Lineage: Bacteria; Pseudomonadati; Pseudomonadota; Gammaproteobacteria; Enterobacterales; Enterobacteriaceae. The record is from RNAcentral. RNAcentral also lists the same sequence under 1 other name.